This 96-nucleotide non-coding RNA is filed under the name bovine gut metagenome. RNAcentral describes it as "SAM riboswitch (S box leader)". It matches the Rfam family "SAM riboswitch aptamer (S box leader)". From Rfam's summary of the family: The SAM riboswitch is found upstream of a number of genes which code for proteins involved in methionine or cysteine biosynthesis in Gram-positive bacteria. The SAM riboswitch acts at the level of transcription termination control. The record is from RNAcentral.
CUCAUCAAGAGCGGCUGAGGGAACAGGCCCUGUGACGCCCGGCAACCUAUCGACGAAAAGGUGCUAAAUCCUGCAGGUAUUACCUGAAAGAUGAGG